Molecule: long non-coding RNA, 765 nt
Filed under: Capra hircus (goat)
Lineage: Eukaryota; Metazoa; Chordata; Mammalia; Artiodactyla; Bovidae
Description: lncRNA (ENSCHIG00000002673.1)
Source: RNAcentral
AUGACUCCAUUGUGCCUCCUGGAGCGGGCAGCACAGACGCGUGACCCGGCUCUGGGCGCCUGGGCUCCAGCUGCUGUGACCUGCAGCCUAAUGGGCCCUCGAGGUACAGCCAAGUUCGGGCCAGGCCCAGUAAAAUAUCCCAUUCAAUCCCACUGCCUCACAGGAGUAAUGAAGACAACUUGUCUACUAGCCAAAGACACUUUCCUUGUCAUCACAGGACUGGCCUCCCCACUUCCAGGGGAGGGAGGAGCGAAACACUGGACCCAGAGCAGAUUCUGCGGCAAAUCCCUGGGCGGAAGGAUCCAGCUUUGUUUUGCUGUUAGUCUGAGAAGGUGACCCCAGCUUCAAGGGCUGACAUUCAUUAAGAAUAUGGACACUGCUGACCUCCUACCUUUCACAUUCCUUCCAACUAAAGGAUCACACAGACUGUUGGAUCGAGUUGUUGGGAUUGUUUGGACAUGCACUGUAGGAGAGCACACAACAGAGGUAAUAGAAUUCGGUUUUUAGGAUCUGUAAAUUAUAUGGUUUUUAAUUCUGUAAAUUAAGCUUAAAAUGGAAAGAAAAUAAAUAGACUAGAAGCUAGGAUCAAAAUGUAGGUCCAAACUCUGUAUACAAAUGGAAAGUGUGAAAACUGGAAAAUAAACUUAUUUUGCAAUCUGUUGUACCAACUUUUAAUAUGUUAAGAUAACUGUCUCAAUCUGCUUCCAGAUCAGUGUCCCUUUGUAAAUAUACAUGAAAUUUGAGUACAAAGAGAUGAACAGCAAU